This 402-nucleotide ribosomal RNA is filed under the name uncultured bacterium. RNAcentral's name for it is "bacterial SSU rRNA". It matches the Rfam family "Bacterial small subunit ribosomal RNA", at positions 355 to 774 of the family's 1533-position model. The record is from RNAcentral.
UGGGGAAUCUUGCACAAUGGGGGCAACCCUGAUGCAGCGACGCCGCGUGAGCGAUGAAGCCCUUCGGGGCGUAAAGCUCUUUCGACCGGAACGAUAAUGACGGUACCGGGAGAAGAAGCUGCGGCUAACUACGUGCCAGCAGCCGCGGUAAUACGUAGGCAGCAAGCGUUGUUCGGAGUUACUGGGCGUAAAGAGUGCGUAGGCGGUUUUCUAAGUUCGGUGUGAAAUCUCCCGGCUUAACUGGGAGGGUGCGCCGAAGACUGGGAAGCUGGAGUGUGGGAAAGGCAGGCGGAAUUCCUGGUGUAGCGGUGAAAUGCGUAGAUAUCAGGGGGAACACCGGCGGUGUAGACGGCUUGCUAGACCAUAACUGACGCUGAGGCACGAAAGCGUGGGUAGCAAACA